UUUCGCAAUGCCCGAAAGGGUGACGAAGCGACGCCGCGUGGGUGAGGAAGGCCUUCGGGUUGUAAAGCCCUGUCAGGAGUUAAGAAAUGUAAGUGCGCUAAUAUCGCAUUUAUUUGACGAAGGCUCCAAAGGAAGCCACGGCUAACUCUGUGCCAGCAGCCGCGGUAAUACAGAGGUGGCAAGCGUUGUUCGGAAUUAUUGGGCGUAAAGAGCACGUAGGUGGGUUUGUAAGUCAGAUGUGAAAGCCUUCUGUUCAACGGAAGAAUUGCAUCUGAAACUACAAGUCUUGAGUGUAGGAGGGGAGAAUGGAACUUCUGGUGGAGCGGUGAAAUGCGUAGAUAUCAGAAGGAACGCCGGCGGCGAAAGCGAUUCUCUAGCCUAUUACUGACACUCAGUGUGCGAAAGCUAGGGGAGCAAACGGGAUUAGAUACCCCGGUAGUCCUAGCCGUAAACGAUGGGCACUAAGUAGAGGGGUUUUA
This 479-nucleotide ribosomal RNA is filed under the name uncultured anaerobic ammonium-oxidizing bacterium. RNAcentral describes it as "bacterial SSU rRNA". It matches the Rfam family "Bacterial small subunit ribosomal RNA", at positions 364 to 833 of the family's 1533-position model. The record is from RNAcentral.